This 232-nucleotide ribosomal RNA is filed under the name uncultured bacterium. RNAcentral describes it as "partial 16S ribosomal RNA". It matches the Rfam family "Bacterial small subunit ribosomal RNA", at positions 99 to 334 of the family's 1533-position model. The record is from RNAcentral.
CGGACGGGUGAGUAAUGUCUGGGAAACUGCCUGAUGGAGGGGGAUAACUACUGGAAACGGUAGCUAAUACCGCAUAAUGUCUACGGACCAAAGCGGGGGACCUCCGGGCCUCGCGCCAUCAGAUGAACCCAUAUGGGAUUAGCUAGUAGGUGAGGUAACGGCUCACCUAGGCGACGAUCCCUAGCUGGUCUGAGAGGGUGAUCGGCCACACUGGGACUGAGACACGGCCCAG